Molecule: ribosomal RNA, 468 nt
Filed under: uncultured bacterium
Lineage: Bacteria
Description: partial 16S ribosomal RNA
Rfam family: Bacterial small subunit ribosomal RNA
Source: RNAcentral
GACGAACGCUGGCGGCGUGCUUAACACAUGCAAGUCGAACGGUAACGGCAGAGCUUGCUCUGCCACAUCAGUGGCGAACGGGUGAGUAACACGUGAGUAACCUGCCCCUCACUUCGGGAUAACCUCGGGAAAUCGUGGCUAAUACCGGAUAUGAGACCUGACUGCAUGGUCGGUUCUGGAAAGUUUUGUCGGUGGGGGAUGGACUCGCGGCCUAUCAGCUUGUUGGUGGGGUAACGGCCCACCAAGGCGACGACGGGUAGCCGGCCUGAGAGGGCGAACGGCCACACUGGGACUGAGAUACGGCCCAGACUCCUACGGGAGGCAGCAGUGGGGAAUAUUGCACAAUGGGCGAAAGCCUGAUGCAGCGACGCCGCGUGGGGGAUGAAGGCCUUCGGGUUGUAAACCCCUUUCAGCAGGGAAGAAGCGAAAGUGACGGUAGAUGGAGAAGAAGCGCCGGCUAACUACGUG